UUUAUGUACAAACAAGGCACUAUUUUAACACACAAACACACACACGGAUACAGAUACACACAACCGCUGUACAGAGAGAAAGAAAAAGAGCAAUAGACACAGAGAGAGAAAGAGAGAGGCAAUGUAUUUUAAUUGCGUUCGUUGGAGGUAGCGGGGGCCGGCCGAGGGGAGGGUGGAGGCACACAGCGGGUCACACUCUCUGUGUAUAUGUAUGUGUGCCUAUGUGUGUGUGUGUGUAUUAUUUUUUGCGAUGAACUCACUUGUGCGCAUCCCACCAUGGAACACACACAACAAAACCAACAACAACAACAACUACUACCACAGAGCAACGAGCUCUGAUACACAUUGAAUAGUGGGAAGGCUGAGCGUGGAGAGGGAGGAGUAGGUGUUGGUGUUUGUGGUGGUGGUGCAAGCAGCACACCCACCCAAUACACCGACCGACCGACCAACCACUUGCACUUGCCUCUCUCACCCACUCCCUUACGAGCGCUCUCUUUCUCACUCUCGCGCUCUCCCUCACUGAUUGAGUAGUUCUCCCGCCCCCACCACACACACACACACAAACGCACUCUGGAACACACUUUGUAUGUGUGUGUGUGUGUGUGUGUGCCCAGUGCUUGCUCUCUUCGGCACGCACAAUUGACUCUUUCUGCGUAUUGAAAUGGCAAGGACAUCUGCUGGAUUAAAUUACUACGCGCGUUUUCAAUUGAACAACAAUCACGGAAAAAAAUAGCAGAAUAUACUGUGGAAUAGAGCUGCGUUUGCCUAGCUAUAACUGACUGCCUGACUGUUUGACGAUGCUUGCUGCUAAAAAGUAAAAGAUACAAAACACACACACACACACACAUGGAGAAGCAAGCACACGCGACUCGGCGCUCUCACAAAAUGUUUGCAGGAGCGGACAGCGCAUUUGAGAGAGAGAGAGAGAGGAGAGAGAAGCGUUCUCUCUCCGCUUUUGAAGUUCAUGCCCAGUGGAUGUGGGGGCUUUUUGGCGUUACCAGAUUGUUGGUCAAUUCAACUGUUUAUGUACCCUAACACAAUGUGGGAUAUACCCAAUUCAUUCAAACACUUUGCAAGUUGGGGGAAUAUACAUACUUUUAUAUAUACUUUUGACCAAGCAAGUUUAAAUUGAACCAUUUAAUAUAAUUGUAAGAUCGUAUAUUCAUAUUUAAACUACAUUAUAAUAUGGAAUAAAAAAUAAAAC
This is a long non-coding RNA of Drosophila willistoni, 1204 nucleotides long. RefSeq lists it as uncharacterized. The record is from RefSeq and is a predicted model, not a curated record. NCBI's taxonomy places the organism in Eukaryota, Metazoa, Arthropoda, Insecta, Diptera, Drosophilidae. The transcript has 4 exons.